This 237-nucleotide unclassified non-coding RNA is filed under the name Hevea brasiliensis (rubber tree). The record is from RNAcentral. Lineage: Eukaryota; Viridiplantae; Streptophyta; Magnoliopsida; Malpighiales; Euphorbiaceae.
AGUAGGCUUUUUGAAAAUACUUAAGGUUUGAAGUUGCAUCUCUGUUGACUUUGUAAUCAUGGGGGCUAAUUUUGGUCAGUUAUAGAUUCACAUAUUCAAGAAUGGAGAUAGUCUUGGCAAUUACCCUUGUUAUCUAAAUGAAUUUAACUUGGUUAAAUUGAAGCUGUACAAGUUAAAAUAAGUCUUAGAUGGAAUUUCAUUUGACCUCAAGAUGUUGAGCUUCUUGACGCAGCGAAG